Molecule: ribosomal RNA, 359 nt
Filed under: uncultured bacterium
Lineage: Bacteria
Description: bacterial SSU rRNA
Rfam family: Bacterial small subunit ribosomal RNA
Source: RNAcentral
AACGAACGCUGGCGGCAUGCCUAACACAUGCAAGUCGAACGAGACCUUCGGGUCUAGUGGCGCACGGGUGCGUAACGCGUGGGAACCUGCCUUUAGGUUCGGAAUAACUCAGAGAAAUUUGAGCUAAUACCGGAUAAUGUCUUCGGACCAAAGAUUUAUCGCCUUUAGAUGGGCCCGCGUUGGAUUAGCUAGUUGGUGGGGUAAAGGCCUACCAAGGCGACGAUCAUAGCUGGUCUGAGAGGAUGAUCAGCCACACUGGGACUGAGACACGGCCCAGACUCCUACGGGAGGCAGCAGUGGGGAAUAUUGGACAAUGGGCGAAAGCCUGAUCCAGCAAUGCCGCGUGAGUGAUGAAGGCC